UGAGUAACCUGCCCUUCACUCUGGGAUAACUCCGGGAAACCGGGGCUAAUACUGGAUAUGACUCGAACAGGCAUCUGUUUCGGGUGGAAAGAUUUAUUGGUGGAGGAUGGACUCGCGGCUUAUCAGCUUGUUGGUGAGAUAAUGGCUCACCAAGGCGACGACGGGUAGCUGGUCUGAGAGGAUGGCCAGCCACAUUGGGACUGAGACACGGCCCAGACUCCUAGGAGG
RNAcentral lists this ribosomal RNA (228 nucleotides) under uncultured bacterium. RNAcentral describes it as "partial 16S ribosomal RNA". It matches the Rfam family "Bacterial small subunit ribosomal RNA", at positions 118 to 348 of the family's 1533-position model. The record is from RNAcentral.